This 1391-nucleotide ribosomal RNA is filed under the name metagenome. RNAcentral's name for it is "bacterial SSU rRNA". It matches the Rfam family "Bacterial small subunit ribosomal RNA", at positions 95 to 1457 of the family's 1533-position model. The record is from RNAcentral.
GUGGCGAACGGGUGCGUAACACGUGGGCAAUCUGCCUUGAAGUUGGGGAUAAGCUACCGAAAGGGAGUCUAAUACCGAAUGACGUCUCGAGGGGACAUCCCCUUGAGACCAAAGGAAGCUGAUAUUUAUAAGCUAUCACUUCAAGAUGAGCCCGCGCUUCAUUAGCUAGUUGGUGGGAUAAUAGCUCACCAAGGCUACGAUGGAUAGCCGGCCUGAGAGGGUGUACGGCCACACUGGGACUGAGAUACGGCCCAGACUCCUACGGGAGGCAGCAGUAGGGAAUAUUGCGCAAUGGGCGAAAGCCUGACGCAGCAACGCCGCGUGGGUGAUGAAGUUCUUCGGAAUGUAAAACCCUGUCUAGAGGAAAGAAACUCCCCAAAUCAAAUAGCUUUGGGGAUUGACGGUACCUCUGGAGGAAGCUCCGGCCAACUCCGUGCCAGCAGCCGCGGUAAUACGGGGGGAGCAAGCGUUGUUCGGAAUCACUGGGCGUAAAGGGUGUGUAGGCGGGUAAGCAAGUCGGGCGUGAAAACUCCUAGCUUAACUGGGAGCGUGCGUCCGAUACUACUUGUCUUGAGUACGAGAGAGGAAAGUGGAAUUCCUGGUGUAGCGGUGAAAUGCGUAGAUAUCAGGAGGAACACCGGUGGCGAAGGCGGCUUUCUAGCUCGAUACUGACGCUGAGACACGAAGGCUAGGGGAGCAAACAGGAUUAGAUACCCUGGUAGUCCUAGCGGUAAACGUUGGGCACUAGGUGUUGUUCCUUAACCGGAGCAGUGCCGCAGUUAACGCGUUAAGUGCCCCGCCUGGGGAGUACGACCGCAAGGUUGAAACUCAAAGGAAUUGACGGGGGCCCGCACAAGCGGUGGAGUAUGUGGUUUAAUUCGACGCAACGCGAAGAACCUUACCUGGGCUUGACAUCCCGAUGUAAACUUAAGAGAUUAAGUCCCUCAGCGAUGAGCGUUGGGACAGGUGCUGCAUGGCUGUCGUCAGCUCGUGCCGUGAGGUGUUGGGUUAAGUCCCGCAACGAGCGCAACCCCUGUCCUUAGUUGCCACCUUCCCGCAAGGGAGGAGCACUCUAAGGAGACUGCCAGUCAUAAGCUGGAGGAAGGUGGGGAUGACGUCAAGUCCUCAUGGCCCUUAUGUCCAGGGCUACACACGUACUACAAUGGCCGGUACAACGGGUCGCAAUGCCGUAAGGUGGAGCCAAUCCUUAAAACCGGUCUCAGUUCGGAUUGAAGGCUGCAACUCGCCUUCAUGAAGUUGGAAUUGCUAGUAAUCGCGUAUCAGCAGGUCGCGGUGAAUACGUUCCCGGGCCUUGUACACACCGCCCGUCAAGCCAUGGAAGCCGGGGGUACCCGAAGUCGUUUUUCCAACACGCAAGGGAGGAAGGCGCC